CAGCCCCGACGAAGACGUUUUCACAGCCUUUAAAUUUAACUUAAUGCUACAGGUAACAGUUACGUUAGUUACCGGUAGCAGCUAACGUUAGACAGGAGAAGAUUUAUUUUUUUUUUUUUCACCCGUUGCGUCUGGCGGAGUUUCCAUUUUGGAAUCGCGGAUCCUUCACCAACUGCUUGGGACUUGCAGAAAACCAGAGACUACCACUCCCGCAGACGCAGAGGCCCAGCUGUCUCUCCCAUCAUCAUGCUCGGUUUUCAGUCAGGAUUAAUCCUGACUCCAACAAGAUGCACUGCCAAGGAGCAGAUGAGCAAGACGACUGGGAGAGUGGUGAAGCGGAAGACUUUAUACAUGAACCCCCAUGUAAUCUCCUUCAUCAGGGACUUCACAGAGUUCUAUUUGCUAACUGGCUAGAAACAGGGCUCCAACUAGGAUUCUAGGUUUCCAAGGUCAGAGCAUGCAAGAGGCCAUAGAUCUUUGACAAGUGGCAGGGGAAGUUUAUUUUCCUUUCCGUUUUUAAAUGUUCAUGAAAUGUUAAAUAUUAAAUUUUUUUUAUUGUUGAAUGUUUUAUUUUAUUUUAAUAUUGCCAUAGUGUUAUUUAUUGCUCUUUAGAAUGUGGUAAUAAUCUGUUAUUUGCACGGCUUUAAAGUAGUUCAAUUUCUUUGCCGUAUUGUUUCAAUUUGUAUUAUUGUUGCGUCAUA
Perca fluviatilis (European perch) is the source of this 701-nucleotide long non-coding RNA. RefSeq lists it as uncharacterized. The transcript has 4 exons. NCBI's taxonomy places the organism in Eukaryota, Metazoa, Chordata, Actinopteri, Perciformes, Percidae. The record is from RefSeq and is a predicted model, not a curated record.